This 446-nucleotide ribosomal RNA is filed under the name uncultured bacterium. RNAcentral's name for it is "bacterial SSU rRNA". It matches the Rfam family "Bacterial small subunit ribosomal RNA", at positions 1052 to 1504 of the family's 1533-position model. The record is from RNAcentral.
UCGUCAGCUCGUGUCGUGAGAUGUUGGGUUAAGUCCCGCAACGAGCGCAACCCUUGUCCCUAGUUGCUACGCAAGAGCACUCUAGGGAGACUGCCGGUGACAAACCGGAGGAAGGUGGGGAUGACGUCAAGUCCUCAUGGCCCUUAUGGGUAGGGCUUCACACGUCAUACAAUGGUCGGAACAGAGGGUCGCCAACCCGCGAGGGGGAGCCAAUCCCAGAAAACCGAUCGUAGUCCGGAUCGCACUCUGCAACUCGAGUGCGUGAAGCUGGAAUCGCUAGUAAUCGCGGAUCAGCAUGCCGCGGUGAAUACGUUCCCGGGUCUUGUACACACCGCCCGUCACACCAUGGGAGUGGGUUUUACCAGAAGUGGCUAGUCUAACCGCAAGGAGGACGGUCACCACGGUAGGAUUCAUGACUGGGGUGAAGUCGUAACAAGGUAACCGUA